CGGCCUGCGGAGGCACGAGUACAAAGUAAGGCUCAAUGGCCAUAUUUAAUUCCAUAACGUAUUGCCACCACAUAAAAGUCGCACCAUUGCAGCACCAAAAAAUAUAUAAAAUACUUUUUUUGUUUUCCUCGUGCAAUAGUCGCACCUCUAUUUGAGACUGAUCCUUCUUUCUUUCCUUCCUUAUUGCAGAGGUGCGAGUACAAAGUAAGGCUCCACGAGGCAAUUGCCAUAUUUCACUACAUAAUAUAUUGCCACUGCAUAAUAGUCGCACCAUUGCAGUACCAAAAAAUAUAUAAAAUACUAUUUUUGUUUUCCUUGUGUAAUAGUCGCACCUCUAUUUGAGACUGAUCCUUCUUUCUUUCCUUUCUUCUUGCAGAGGCACGAGUACAAAGUAAGACUCCACGAGGCAAUUGCCAUAUUUCUUUCCAUAAAGUAUUGCCACCACAUAAUAGUCGCACCAUUGCAGCACCAAAAAAUAUAUAAAAUACUAUUUUUGUUUUCCUCGUGUAAUAGUCGCACCUCUAUUUGAGACUGAUCCUUCCUUACUGGCACGAGGCACGAGUACAAAGUAAGGCUCCACGUGGCAAUUGCCAUAUUUCAUUCCAUAACGUAUUGCCACCACAUAAUAGUCACACCAUUGCCACACCAAAAAAUAUAUAAAAUACUAUUUUUGUUUUCCUCGUGUAAUAGUUGCACCUCUAUUUGAGACUGAUCCUUACUGCAGAAGCACGAGUACAAAGUAAGGCUCCACACGGCAAUUGCCAUAUUUCUUUCCAUAAUAUAUUGCCACCACAUAAUAGUCGCACCAUUGCAGCACCAAAAAAUAUAUAAAAUACUAUUUUUGUUUUCCUCGUGUAAUAGUCGCACCUCUAUUUGAGACUGAUCCUUCCUUACUGCACAGGCAUGAGUACAAAGUAAGACUCCACGCGGCAAUUGCCAUAUUUCUUUCCAUAAUAUAUUGCCACCACAUAAUAGUCGCACCAUUGCAGCACCAAAAAAUAUAUAAAAUACUAUUUUUGUUUUCCUCGUGCAAUAGUCGCACCUCUAUUUGAGACUGAUCCUUCUUUCUUUCCUUCCUUACUGCAAAGGCAUGAAUACAAAGUAAGGCUCCACGCGGCAAUUGCCAUAUUUCAUUCCAUAAAGUAUUGCCACCACACAAUAGUCGCACCAUUGGAGCACCAAAAUAUAUAUAAAAUACUAUUUUUGUUUUCCUCGUGUAAUAGUCGCACCUCUAUUAUUAUUAUUAUUAUUAUUAUUUUAUUAUGUCACAGCAAACAAGAUAGAUAUGCUGGAUUUCGUAUCACAAAAUCACAAGUUGAACACUUUCUAAGUGUCUAGGACUGUGUGAUGUAUUUUCGGAUGAUGUGUGCAGAUCCCAGUAGGGUGGCCUUUUGCAGUUUCUUCUUCUUCUAAUUAUUAUUAUUAUUAUUAUUAUUAUUAUUAUUAUUAUUACAGUAUUAUUAUUUUUAGGUUAUUGUUGAUACCAUAUUGUUUUUGUUGCCCCUACUUUUCCACUUAUAGAGCUAGUUUAUUGUUUUUCUUCGAAAUACGGUAAAUAUUCAAAAACAUUUAACCUACUGAUGCCUCGAUUCAUGAAAUUUUAUUGGUAUCUAUUUUUACUUUGAAAUUUACCCAUAGCUGCUGCAUUUCCCACCCUCGGCUUAGACUCGAGUCAAUAAGUUUUCCCAGUUUUUUGUGGUAAAAUUAGGUGCCUUGGCUUAUAUUUGGGUCAGCUUAUACUCGAGUCUAUACGGUAUGUGUCCCAGAAAGGUACCGCAACCCCAAAGCAAUCCUCACAUAAUAGUCACACCCCUAUUUGAGACUGACGAAACGGCAAGAAUGAAGUGGAAAUACGUACUUCUCUCGCCGGAGUUGGAGCAACAAGCAGGAGAGAGCCUCGGGGUGCUCUGGAAGAGAAAGAAGGAUUCGGGGUUGCGUUGGAUCUGAACGGAAAGAUAUCAGCCAGCAUGCCAAUGUCUUAAAUCAAGAAACAGCUUCCUAAGAUCUACAGAGAUACUCGCAGGAACAUCUCAGCAAGCCAGAGUCCAAAAGUGGCAGGUGAAAACACGGUACUUCAAUCCUAAUAGUCCUGCUGCGCCCACCAGACGCCCGACUCACUCAAAAUGUUCAGGACCGAGUCCUUCCGAAACAUCACCAAGUUGCCCAUCAUGACGUGGCAGACCAGUUCCUGGAGCUGGAAAAGGGAAAGCGGGAACUGGUAAGUGCUGGGAUAACCCGAACUCUAACCCAAAGGAUACACAUUGAAAGCCAUGUCUCCAUCUUGGGCAACCAGAAGGACAGAUCUUCUCAUUGAAUCCCCAAGGGCCAUCCAGUCCAACCCCCUUCCAGGCAGGAAAAGCACAAUCAAAGCACCCUCCACAGAUGGCCAUCUAGACUCUGUUCUACCUGGAUUUAGCCAAUAAUAAUAAUAAUAAUAAUAAUAAUAAUAAUAAUAAUAAUAAUACAUCACACAGUCCUAGACACUUGGGAAGUGUUUGACUUGUGAUUUUGUGAAACGAAAUCCAGCAUAUCUAUCUUGUUUGCUGUGUCAUACAACGUCGUUGUCUCAAUAAUAAUAAUAAUAAUAUCAUAUAAGAUAUAUAAAUAAUAUGUAAUAUGAUGUUAUAUAAUCAUAAUAAUAAUGUGAUAUUAUCAUAAAAGAUAUAUAAUAUGUUAUAUGUUAUUAUAUAAUAAUGUGAUAACAUUAUCAUAAAAGAUAUAAUAAUAAUAAUAAUAAUAAUAAUAAUAAUAAUAAUAAUAAUAAUAAUAACAAUAAUAUUUUAUUUAUACCCCGCCACCAUCUCCCCGUGGGGACUUGGGGCGGCUUACAUGGGGCAGAGGCCCAAACAACAUAGAACAAAACAUAGGCAACAUAAUACAAAUCACACUAUAAAAAGGUAAAACAGUAAUACAAUCUAUCAAUUAAAACAAAAAUACAGGAUAAAAAAUUGCAUUUAAAACACAUAAAUGGUAAAAUCGUAAUAAAAACAGGACAGAUUAUUAAAAACCCUCUGUAAUAUAUUAUAUAAUAAUGUGAUAAUAUUACCAUAUAAGAUACUAGCUGUGCCCGGCCACGCGUUGCUGUGUCUGAGUCUGGUGGUGUUGUUCAGUCUACAUUAGGUUGUAUUUAUGCUGUGACCUUCUUUAUACUCACAUUAGUAGUAGUAUUUGAAGUCUGUUACCUUCUUCAAUUUUUGUGUUGAUUGAUAAUUGCUUGAGAUCCCUGUUGUCUUUGGUUUGUUGUUAGUUGUAAUGUCUGAUUCUGCUGAGUGCGGUUUAUAUUUUUAUUGUGGUACAAUAGUCCUUUUUUUGUUUUGCCUGUGUAGGUGUUUAUUAUUAUUGUUGUUGUUGUGGUCAUGAAGGUUGGAUAAGUUAGAUGCUACUGUAUUGUUUUUUGGAGGCCCAGUGUAGCACUGACUGGCCUCUCAGCCUCAGUGCCUGGCUGUUUCUUGCCUGUGAUGGUGUUGAUUCUUAUUGUUGUUGUUGUUAUUGUUAUUAUUGUAAUUGUUUUUUUGGAGGCCAAGUGUGAAUGUAGGGAUUGGGGAGGUGGAUGAGUUGUGUUGUCAAAUUUGGUAUUUGUUAUAGUCACAAUGCGUUGUUGUGAGUUUUGUGGGUCUGGAUUGUGGUUUUGUGGUGUAGUUGUGUUGUUACAACUGGGAGAAAAGGCUUUUGUGUUGUGUUGUCAAGUUUUAUAUUUCUGGGGCGUUUAGUUGUGCACCGUUUCGUAUUUCUGGGGCGUUUAGUUGUGUUGUUAUAGUCACGAUGCAUUGUUGUGAGUUUUGUGGGUCCGGAUUGUGGUUUUGUGGUGUGGUUGUGUUGUUACAACCGGGAGGCAAGGCUUUUACGUUGUGUUGUCAAGUUUUAUAUUUCUGGGGUGUUUAGUUGUGUGCCAAGUUUCGUAUUUCUGGGGCGUUUAGUUGUGUUGUUAUAGUCACGAUGCGUUGUUGUGAGUUUUAUGGGUCCGGAUUGUGGUUUUGUGGUGUGGUUGUGUUGUUACAACCUGGAGGGAAGGCUUUUGCGUUGUGUUGCCAAGUUUCGUAUUUCUGGGGCGUUUAGUUGUGUUGUUAUAGUCACAAUGCGUUGUUGUGAGUUUUGUGGGUCCUGUGUGGUUUUGUGGUGUGGCUGUGUUGUUACAACUGGGAGGCAAGGUUUUUGCAUUGUGUUGCCAAGUUUUGUAUUUCUGGGGCGUUUAGUUGUGUUGUUAUCGCAUGAUGCGUUGUUGUGAGUUUUGUGGGUCUGGAUUGUGGUUUUGUGGUGUGGUUGUGUUGUUGUAACCGGGAGGCAAGCCUUUUGCAUUGUGUUGCCAAAUUUCUUAUUUCUGGGAUGUUUAGUUUUGUUGUUAUAGUCACUGCGCAAACAACUUUAUCAUUUUAUAUAUAUAGAUGUAAGAUAAUAUGUAAUAUUAUGCUAUCAUAUAAAUAAUAAUAAUAAUAAUAAUAAUAAUAAUAAUAAUAAUAAUAAUAAUAAUAAUAAUAAUAACAGAACUCAACGAAGAUAAUUUCACAGAAACUUGGUCCACUGAUUGAUCAAGGGACCCAAGAAGACAAGGUCUUAUAUGGCAACGAUGCACUCGCUUGAAUUAGACAGACAUUGACUCUGGAGGUCAGAUUAAAUAUUGUGCAUUGUAUUAAUACUUAGUCUAUUUGUAGAUUUGGUUUCUUUUCUAGAUUAUAUCUUAUGUCCAUUUUGCCCCAAUAAAAUACGUGUAUUUUGCAAGCACGGAGUGACCAAAUAAGGGUCCGUUGCCUGCUUCUCUCCCUUUUCCCAGAUGCGAUAGCCAUCGGUGCGGCUGGGCCCUGCCAAGGAAAACCAUCCCGUCUGGGGAAAUGGGAAAGUAUUUACGGCAAAAACGGAGAGGUUUAUGGGCAGAGAGAUGAAUGAUGGAGGAGGCUGGGUUGGCAAAGAUGUCCCUCCGUCUUUUAGUUUGGGGCCAGUCUACGCCGGAGCCAUGGCAACCUGUUGGCAAUGGCAGCCGUGGUCCCGGGAGGCCUUUGAUCCCAAAUCCGCUCCGGUUUUGUUCCUAGAAUAACAAAACGGGGCCCCAGUCUUGGAGAGGCCUUGCAGCAUCCCCACCGCGAGGCGCAGGACUCAAAGAAAUUCCCCUGAUAGCCGUCAACAUUGGUGCUUUGGCUGGAAAGCUGGCUGGAUGAUGCUUAUGAUGACAAUGAUUACAUUAUUAUUAUUAUUAUUAUCAUCAACACAACGACGUUGUAUGGCACAGCAAACAAGAUAGAUAUGCUGGAUUUCGUUUCGCAAAACCACAAGUCGAACACUUCCCAAGUGUCUAGGACUGUGUGAUGUAUUAUUAUUAUUAUUAUUAUUAUUAUUAUUAUUAUUAUUAUGAUGACACAGCAAACAAGAUAGAUAUGCUGGAUUUCGUAUCACAAAACCACAAGUCGAACACUUCCCAAGUGUCUAGGACUGUGUGAUGUAUUAUUAUUAUUAUUAUUAUUAUUAUUAUUAUUAUUAUUAUGACACAGCAAACAAGAUAGAUAUGCUGGAUUUCGUAUCACAAAAUCACAAGACGAACACUUCCCAAGUGUCUAGGACUGUGUGAUGUAUUAUUAUUAUUAUUAUUAUUAUUAUUAUUAUUAUUAUUAUUAUUAUGACACAGCAAACAAGAUAGAUAUGCUGGAUUUCGUAUCACAAAAUCACAAGACGAACACUUCCCAAGUGUCUAGGACUGUGUGAUGUAUUAUUAUUAUUAUUAUUAUUAUUAUUAUUAUUAUUAUUAUUAUUAUUAUGAUGACACAGCAAACAAGAUAGAUAUGCUGGAUUUCGUAUCACAAAAUCACAAGUCGAACACUUCCCAAGUGUCUAGGACUGUGUGAUGUAUUUUCUGAUGAUGUGUGCAGAUCCCAGUAGGGUGGCCUUUUGCAGUUGGCAGAUGGUGAUUUUGUCAAUGUCUGUUGUUUCCAAAUGCCGGCUGAGAUCUUUUGGCACGGCACCCAGUGUGCCCAUCACCACCGGGACCACCUGUACUGGUUUCUGCCAGAGUCUUUGAAGUUCAAUCUUGAGGUCCUGAGAGCGGCUGAGUUUUUCCUGUUGUUUUUCAUCUAUGCGACUGUCACCUGGGAUGGCAACAUCAAUGAUCCAAACCUUGUUCUUUUCCACAACUGUGAUGUCUGGUGUGUUGUGUUCCAGAACUUUGUCAGUCUGGAUUCGGAAGUCCCACAGUCUCUUUGCGUGCUCAUUUUCCAAUACUUUUGCAGGUUUGUGAUCCCACCAGUUCUUUGCUGCUGGGAGGUGGGACUUGAGGCAUAAGUUCCAAUGAAUCAUUUGGGCCACAUAGUUGUGCCUCUGUUUGUAGUCUGUCUGUGCAAUUUUUUUACAGCAGCUGAGGAUAUGAUCCAUGGUUUCGUCGGUUUCCUUGCACAGUCUGCAUUUUGGGUCAUCAGCUGAUUUUUCAAUCUUGGCCUUAAUUGCAUUUGUUCUGAUGGCUUGCUCCUGGGCUGCAAGGAUCAGGCCUUCUGUCUCCUUCUUCUUCUUAUUAUUAUUAUUAUUAUGACACUUUGGGUAACCACUCCCCCCCGAUUAUAGCGACAUAACUAGCACUUUAGCCCAGUUUCCUACAGAUCUUAUCCAUGAUUUUAUCAUGAUGUAUUGUAUGUGUUUUUAUAACUUGUUUUAUUGUUGUUUGAUUUGUUUUACUGCUUGUUUUUAUAUUGUCAUGACUGGGCUUGGCCCCAUGUAAGCCGCCCCGAGUCCCUUCGGGGAGAUGGGGCAGGGUAUAAGAAUAAAAUUAUUAUUAUUAUUAUUAUUAUUAUUA
This is a long non-coding RNA of Anolis carolinensis (green anole), 6769 nucleotides long. RefSeq lists it as uncharacterized. The record is from RefSeq and is a predicted model, not a curated record. The transcript is spliced from 2 exons. Lineage: Eukaryota; Metazoa; Chordata; Lepidosauria; Squamata; Anolidae.